This 527-nucleotide ribosomal RNA is filed under the name uncultured bacterium. Its description in RNAcentral is "partial 16S ribosomal RNA". It matches the Rfam family "Bacterial small subunit ribosomal RNA", at positions 355 to 874 of the family's 1533-position model. The record is from RNAcentral.
UGGGGAAUUUUGGACAAUGGGCGAAAGCCUGAUCCAGCAAUGCCGCGUGUGUGAAGAAGGCCUUCGGGUUGUAAAGCACUUUUGUCCGGAAAGAAAUCCUCUGGGUUAAUACCUCGGGGGGAUGACGGUACCGGAAGAAUAAGCACCGGCUAACUACGUGCCAGCAGCCGCGGUAAUACGUAGGGUGCAAGCGUUAAUCGGAAUUACUGGGCGUAAAGCGUGCGCAGGCGGUUUUGUAAGACGGAUGUGAAAUCCCCGGGCUUAACCUGGGAACUGCAUUCGUGACUGCAAGGCUAGAGUAUGGCAGAGGGGGGUAGAAUUCCACGUGUAGCAGUGGAAUGCGUAGAGAUGUGGAGGAAUACCGAUGGCGAAGGCAGCCCCCUGGGCCAAUACUGACGCUCAUGCACGAAAGCGUGGGGAGCAAACAGGAUUAGAUACCCUGGUAGUCCACGCCCUAAACGAUGUCAACUAGUUGUUGGGGAUUCAUUUCCUUAGUAACGUAGCUAACCGCGUGAAGUUGACCGCCU